GGCGGACCAGGAUUUCUAGCCGUCGGAUCAGAGCCUUUAGGCAGGACAAGCAAACAAUGCUCGACGGUGACAGUAACCGUUUGGUUUUAUGCGCGGUGGCUUCGUCCGUGUAAUGGCUGAUUGGUUGGACGGUUCGGGCAGUUGAGCUUAUCGAAACAAUGAUGGGAUCGAACGGCUAAAAGUAAGCAGACAUAUCCGCAAAAAGAAAAGAAGUAACGGGACGU
RNAcentral lists this long non-coding RNA (224 nucleotides) under Elaeis guineensis (African oil palm). RNAcentral describes it as "long non-coding RNA (EGUI_LNC006672)". Lineage: Eukaryota; Viridiplantae; Streptophyta; Magnoliopsida; Arecales; Arecaceae. The record is from RNAcentral.